Girardinichthys multiradiatus is the source of this 414-nucleotide long non-coding RNA. RefSeq lists it as uncharacterized. The transcript is spliced from 3 exons. NCBI's taxonomy places the organism in Eukaryota, Metazoa, Chordata, Actinopteri, Cyprinodontiformes, Goodeidae. The record is from RefSeq and is a predicted model, not a curated record.
CACCUUUGUACCUCACUUUUCAGGUCAUAACAGCAUGAGCCAUCCUCCACAACAUCUGCCUUGGUGCUGGGGAUGUCAUGGCCCCAGAGGAUGACCCAGAGGAGGCUGUAGAAGAGGAUGAGGGUGAGGUCGGGACUGAGACAGUCAGCGUUGUUCUCUGGCAGGACCAGCUUUCAGCUGAGGUGUCUGCCCUGGAGGAGUGAUGCGGCAGCCGUCAAUUCAGCCAGCCCUUUAAACCCACUUGAUGGACGAUGACGAUGACAGUGGAGAGAGACAUCACAAACAUCUACAGACCACCUGUGUGAUGCUUCGCUCACCAUCCAGAAAGACAAACCAAAGGUCUCAGUUGCAGCAUCCAUCCAUGUCUCUGACCUUGUGAAAGAUUUAGCCACAUCUCCAGAGACUUUCUGUUCA